GAUGAACGCUAGCGGCAGGCCUAAUACAUGCAAGUCGAACGGUGUAGCAAUACAUAGUGGCGCACGGGUGCGUAACACGUAUGCAACCUACCUUAUACUGGGGGAUAGCCUUUGGAAACGGAGAUUAAUACCCCAUAGUACAUUUAGAUGGCAUCAUUUGAAUGUUAAAGAUUUAUCGGUAUAAGCUGGGCAUGCGUCCAAUUAGUUAGUUGGUGAGGUAACGGCUCACCAAGACUUUGAUUGGUAGGGGAACUGAGAGGUUAAUCCCCCACACUGGCACUGAGAUACGGGCCAGACUCCUACGGGAGGCAGCAGUAGGGAAUAUUGGGCGAUGGAGGCAACUCUGACCCAGCCAUGCCGCGUGCAGGAAGAAGGCGUUAUGCGUUGUAAACUGCUUUUAUAUAGGAAGAAAUAGUCCUUGCGAGGAAAGUUGACGGUACUAUAUGAAUAAGCACCGGCUAACUCCGUGCCAGCCGCCGCCGUAA
Molecule: ribosomal RNA, 485 nt
Filed under: uncultured bacterium
Lineage: Bacteria
Description: partial 16S ribosomal RNA
Rfam family: Bacterial small subunit ribosomal RNA
Source: RNAcentral